Molecule: long non-coding RNA, 311 nt
Organism: Esox lucius (northern pike)
Lineage: Eukaryota; Metazoa; Chordata; Actinopteri; Esociformes; Esocidae
Exons: 3
Source: RefSeq, a predicted model, not a curated record
GAAGUUGGUGGUGAACUGCGACGGGGUUGGCGGGAGGAUGUGCAACCACUCUAUUGUCAUCCUUUGUGAGGAAAGGACCUGACCUUCCCAGGAGGCGAGAGAGAACUCAAUAGAGAUUCCUGAAUCGCAUCAGGCAGCGCCCUCUGCUGGGCGCAUUGAGCACACAUACAGAAAUGUGGAAUUAGAGAAUCUGUUGGAGUUCUUAUCGCCCAGCAACACUGCCUGGCAGACGAGCACAGAGCCGAUUGGAUGGAAGCGUACCGGAGAAGGUGAGUCGUGAAAUGGCAGCCAGCGUGAUAUGACAGCUAGCC